GUGACCGGGAAAGCUCAAUUUAAAAUCUGGCUGUCUUCGAUAGUCCGAGUUGUAAUCUAUAGAAGUGUUUUCCGUGCUGAACUGUGUCUAAGUCCCUUGGAACAGGGUAUCAAAGAGGGUGACAAUCCCGUACUUGACACAAUCAUCAGUGCUCUGUGAUACAUUCUCUACGAGUCGAGUUGUUUGGGAAUGCAGCUCAAAAUGGGUGGUAAAUUCCAUCUAAAGCUAAAUAUUGGCGAGAGACCGAUAGCGAACAAGUACCGUGAGGGAAAGAUGAAAAGCACUUUGGAAAGAGAGUUAAACAGUACGUGAAAUUGUUGAAAGGGAAACGAUUGAAGUCAGUCGUGUUCAUUGGAUUCAGCUAGUUCUUCUAGUCUACUUCCUUUGAACGGGUCAACAUCAGUUUUGUCCGGUGGAUAAAGGCAGUAGGAAUGUGGCUUCUUCGGAAGUGUUAUAGCCUAUUGUCACAUACACUGGGGGAGACUGAGGACUGCAGCUCGCCUUUUGGCCGGGGUCGCCCA
RNAcentral lists this ribosomal RNA (521 nucleotides) under Apiotrichum scarabaeorum. Its description in RNAcentral is "eukaryotic LSU rRNA". It matches the Rfam family "Eukaryotic large subunit ribosomal RNA", at positions 93 to 632 of the family's 3401-position model. Lineage: Eukaryota; Fungi; Basidiomycota; Tremellomycetes; Trichosporonales; Trichosporonaceae. The record is from RNAcentral.